Molecule: ribosomal RNA, 2930 nt
Filed under: Escherichia coli
Lineage: Bacteria; Pseudomonadati; Pseudomonadota; Gammaproteobacteria; Enterobacterales; Enterobacteriaceae
Description: bacterial LSU rRNA
Rfam family: Bacterial large subunit ribosomal RNA
Source: RNAcentral
GGGUUGUGAGGUUAAGCGACUAAGCGUACACGGUGGAUGCCCUGGCAGUCAGAGGCGAUGAAGGACGUGCUAAUCUGCGAUAAGCGUCGGUAAGGUGAUAUGAACCGUUAUAACCGGCGAUUUCCGAAUGGGGAAACCCAGUGUGUUUCGACACACUAUCAUUAACUGAAUCCAUAGGUUAAUGAGGCGAACCGGGGGAACUGAAACAUCUAAGUACCCCGAGGAAAAGAAAUCAACCGAGAUUCCCCCAGUAGCGGCGAGCGAACGGGGAGGAGCCCAGAGCCUGAAUCAGUGUGUGUGUUAGUGGAAGCGUCUGGAAAGGCGCGCGAUACAGGGUGACAGCCCCGUACACAAAAAUGCACAUAUUGUGAGCUCGAUGAGUAGGGCGGGACACGUGGUAUCCUGUCUGAAUAUGGGGGGACCAUCCUCCAAGGCUAAAUACUCCUGACUGACCGAUAGUGAACCAGUACCGUGAGGGAAAGGCGAAAAGAACCCCGGCGAGGGGAGUGAAAAAGAACCUGAAACCGUGUACGUACAAGCAGUGGGAGCACGCUUAGGCGUGUGACUGCGUACCUUUUGUAUAAUGGGUCAGCGACUUAUAUUCUGUAGCAAGGUUAACCGAAUAGGGGAGCCGAAGGGAAACCGAGUCUUAACUGGGCGUUAAGUUGCAGGGUAUAGACCCGAAACCCGGUGAUCUAGCCAUGGGCAGGUUGAAGGUUGGGUAACACUAACUGGAGGACCGAACCGACUAAUGUUGAAAAAUUAGCGGAUGACUUGUGGCUGGGGGUGAAAGGCCAAUCAAACCGGGAGAUAGCUGGUUCUCCCCGAAAGCUAUUUAGGUAGCGCCUCGUGAAUUCAUCUCCGGGGGUAGAGCACUGUUUCGGCAAGGGGGUCAUCCCGACUUACCAACCCGAUGCAAACUGCGAAUACCGGAGAAUGUUAUCACGGGAGACACACGGCGGGUGCUAACGUCCGUCGUGAAGAGGGAAACAACCCAGACCGCCAGCUAAGGUCCCAAAGUCAUGGUUAAGUGGGAAACGAUGUGGGAAGGCCCAGACAGCCAGGAUGUUGGCUUAGAAGCAGCCAUCAUUUAAAGAAAGCGUAAUAGCUCACUGGUCGAGUCGGCCUGCGCGGAAGAUGUAACGGGGCUAAACCAUGCACCGAAGCUGCGGCAGCGACGCUGAUGCGUUGUUGGGUAGGGGAGCGUUCUGUAAGCCUGCGAAGGUGUGCUGUGAGGCAUGCUGGAGGUAUCAGAAGUGCGAAUGCUGACAUAAGUAACGAUAAAGCGGGUGAAAAGCCCGCUCGCCGGAAGACCAAGGGUUCCUGUCCAACGUUAAUCGGGGCAGGGUGAGUCGACCCCUAAGGCGAGGCCGAAAGGCGUAGUCGAUGGGAAACAGGUUAAUAUUCCUGUACUUGGUGUUACUGCGAAGGGGGGACGGAGAAGGCUAUGUUGGCCGGGCGACGGUUGUCCCGGUUUAAGCGUGUAGGCUGGUUUUCCAGGCAAAUCCGGAAAAUCAAGGCUGAGGCGUGAUGACGAGGCACUACGGUGCUGAAGCAACAAAUGCCCUGCUUCCAGGAAAAGCCUCUAAGCAUCAGGUAACAUCAAAUCGUACCCCAAACCGACACAGGUGGUCAGGUAGAGAAUACCAAGGCGCUUGAGAGAACUCGGGUGAAGGAACUAGGCAAAAUGGUGCCGUAACUUCGGGAGAAGGCACGCUGAUAUGUAGGUGAAGUCCCUUGCGGAUGGAGCUGAAAUCAGUCGAAGAUACCAGCUGGCUGCAACUGUUUAUUAAAAACACAGCACUGUGCAAACACGAAAGUGGACGUAUACGGUGUGACGCCUGCCCGGUGCCGGAAGGUUAAUUGAUGGGGUCAGCGCAAGCGAAGCUCUUGAUCGAAGCCCCGGUAAACGGCGGCCGUAACUAUAACGGUCCUAAGGUAGCGAAAUUCCUUGUCGGGUAAGUUCCGACCUGCACGAAUGGCGUAAUGAUGGCCAGGCUGUCUCCACCCGAGACUCAGUGAAAUUGAACUCGCUGUGAAGAUGCAGUGUACCCGCGGCAAGACGGAAAGACCCCGUGAACCUUUACUAUAGCUUGACACUGAACAUUGAGCCUUGAUGUGUAGGAUAGGUGGGAGGCUUGGAAGUGUGGACGCCAGUCUGCAUGGAGCCGACCUUGAAAUACCACCCUUUAAUGUUUGAUGUUCUAACGUUGACCCGUGAUCCGGGUUGCGGACAGUGUCUGGUGGGUAGUUUGACUGGGGCGGUCUCCUCCUAAAGAGUAACGGAGGAGCACGAAGGUUGGCUAAUCCUGGUCGGACAUCAGGAGGUUAGUGCAAUGGCAUAAGCCAGCUUGACUGCGAGCGUGACGGCGCGAGCAGGUGCGAAAGCAGGUCAUAGUGAUCCGGUGGUUCUGAAUGGAAGGGCCAUCGCUCAACGGAUAAAAGGUACUCCGGGGAUAACAGGCUGAUACCGCCCAAGAGUUCAUAUCGACGGCGGUGUUUGGCACCUCGAUGUCGGCUCAUCACAUCCUGGGGCUGAAGUAGGUCCCAAGGGUAUGGCUGUUCGCCAUUUAAAGUGGUACGCGAGCUGGGUUUAGAACGUCGUGAGACAGUUCGGUCCCUAUCUGCCGUGGGCGCUGGAGAACUGAGGGGGGCUGCUCCUAGUACGAGAGGACCGGAGUGGACGCAUCACUGGUGUUCGGGUUGUCAUGCCAAUGGCACUGCCCGGUAGCUAAAUGCGGAAGAGAUAAGUGCUGAAAGCAUCUAAGCACGAAACUUGCCCCGAGAUGAGUUCUCCCUGACUCCUUGAGAGUCCUGAAGGAACGUUGAAGACGACGACGUUGAUAGGCCGGGUGUGUAAGCGCAGCGAUGCGUUGAGCUAACCGGUACUAAUGAACCGUGAGGCUUAACCUUACAACGCCGAAGCUGUU